RNAcentral lists this ribosomal RNA (451 nucleotides) under uncultured bacterium. RNAcentral's name for it is "partial 16S ribosomal RNA". It matches the Rfam family "Bacterial small subunit ribosomal RNA", at positions 328 to 796 of the family's 1533-position model. The record is from RNAcentral.
GCUCCAGACUCCUACGGGAGGCAGCAGUGGGGAAUAUUGGGCAAUGGGCGAAAGCCUGACCCAGCGACGCCGCGUGAGGGAAGAAGGUCUUCGGAUUGUAAACCUCUUUCAGCAGGGAAGAAGAAAGUGACGGUACCUGCAGAAGAAGUCGCGGCUAACUACGUGCCAGCAGCCGCGGUAAUACGGAGGAUGCGAGCGUUAUCCGGAUUUAUUGGGUUUAAAGGGUGCGUAGGCGGAAUGCCAAGUCAGCGGUAAAAUCGCGGGGCUCAACCUCGCUCCGCCGUUGAAACUGGCGUUCUUGAGUGGGCGAGAAGUAUGCGGAAUGCGUGGUGUAGCGGUGAAAUGCAUAGAUAUCACGCAGAACUCCGAUUGCGAAGGCAGCAUACCGGCGCCCAACUGACGCUCAGGCACGAAAGCGUGGGUAUCGAACAGGAUUAGAUGCCCGCGUACC